GGGAAAUGAACAUAGUGCUCUUCCCUCUCAUUGACAGCGUCCAUCAAGAGCUCACGCCAGGUUUGAAUGAUUUAACGCGACAAAUGACUAUAAGGAUGAGGUAUAAGUGAAUGGUCGAACAAUGGCCACCCUGAAUCAAAGAGACAUUAACCUCGUCACCAUCUCAAGAACUCCAGCGAUUACCAUGCGACGCUCCAACAACUUCACGCGCUUGCUCUUGUGUGUGAUGUUCUUUCCGUUUUGCUCAAGCCAAGACAACAUAACAGAAGGCACGAUGAUCGAGGACCCGCAAACUCUCGUGUCUGCCGGCAAGGAGUUUGAGCUCGGCUUCUUCUCUCCAAAUAGGAGCUCCGACUCCAGGAGGUAUGUGGGAAUAUGGUAUUACGGGUCAGACCCUCCGAUUGUUGUUUGGGUGGCCAACCGGGACGACCCGCUCAUCGGCCUCAAUGCAUCAUUCGGCGUCAUGGACGGUGACCUGCAGUUGCGCCACAAAGGACCAGCGAUCCGGUUGAUCAAUGUCAGGGGUUCCAGCUCUUCAACUCUGGUUGUGAAGCUUCUUGAUACAGGGAAUCUAGUGCUGUUGGAAGACGACAGGAGCGAGACGGUCCUGUGGCAGAGCUUCAAUCACCCGACCGACACCUUCCUACCUGGGAUGCUGAUGAUCAACGGCUUCAACUUGACUUCUUGGGCAAGCCAGGAAGACCCGAAACAGGGGAUGUUCACGUUUCAGAGGGAUCAAGAAAGUGGCAGUAACGAGUACAAAGUAGUCCAAGACCUGUCUCCUUACUGGAGAAGUGGGGUGCAUGGCGACUUCAUACAAGCCGAUGAGAAUUUAUAUGCGAUCAUUCUUUUGCCAAAUGAUUCUCUGGGUUUAGCUUCCGGUCGGUUGGUCAUGAACCACACCGGCCAGAUUCAGUACUUCAGUUUGAAAAAUGGGACGGAGCCAGUCUGGUCCAAGCCAAAGGACAAGUGCAGCGUGCUCAAUGCGUGUGGCAAGUUUGGGAGCUGCAACAUUAUGAAUGGUAACGAAACCAUGUGCAGGUGCUUGCCAGGUUUCAAGCCGGCACAAUUGGAUAAUAGAACCCCAGUGUACUCCAGCGGGUGCCUCAGGAAGUCGUCAAAAUGCUGCGGGAAGAACAGCAACGGUGCUGAUCAUUUCUUGAGUCUGAAAAUGAUGAAGGUCAGGAAGUCAGACAUGCAGAUCCGGACCGAAAACGAGGAGAAAUGCAGGCAAAAGUGCCUCCAUGACUUCAGAUGCCAGGCUUACUCGUUCAUGGAGGAUCAGAGUCGAGCGGCAGAUACAUGCUACACUUGGUCAGACUAUCUCGACAAUAUUCAGGAGUUUGCCCGAGAUGGUCACGACCUCUAUGUCCGAGUGCCGCUUUCAGACAUAGAAUCUACUAACGGGAGCUGUGGAACUUGUGGCACUAAUUUAGUCCCCUAUCCUUUAAGCACGGGACAAAGCUGUGGCGAUCCACUAUACUCUGCAUUUAGCUGUGACAGUAUGACUGCCCAGCUUUACUUUGAACUACCCAUGGAUCGCUACAGAAUCACUAGUGUCAAUCCAGAAACUCGAAUAUUUACCAUCCAAGUCAACGAAAGAUUCAAAUGCAUGAGUGAGGAUCUAAAGAAAAUCAGUCAGCGGCUUGGCCAGUCCGGGCCAUUUGCUGUGAGUGGCGGGUGUAUUGGAGGACAGACUGACUUUAGCGCAGAUGCCUCCCUUGGAAGUGUCAGGUCGAGCGAAGUGAAAAUUGUGUGGAGGGAUCCAAAGGAGCCACUCUGCAAUUCAUCCAAAGACUGCGAUUGGCCUAACGCAACUUGCAAGAGUGCAUCAGAUGGAAUUACAAAGUGCCUCUGCGACUCGGGAUUCAGUUGGAAUUCUUCCAACGUCAGCUGUUCUCCGGAAUAUCAGCCAGGGAUUGUGACCAUGCACUUGAAGUCCUCACAUCUGUCCUUUUAUCAAAUUAGCGAGUCCAUGUGUCUACAAUUAUUCGUUCACUUUUGUCCAAAAUACAGUACUUACACUUUCUUUUCUUCUCUAGCGGGAGUAGGUAAUAACGUUGAAGGAGGAGGAUCAUCGCAGAAAAGACAGAAAGUGAAACCUGUAUACAUAGUUGCUCCUGCGGUUGCUGCAAUUUUCAUCCUUGUAUUUGGUGGCUUAUUUUACAUGAGAAGGCAGCAUGGGAGCAGGGAAAGCACACUAGAAAUUCUUGACUUUCGUUUAUACGAGAGCGAGAAACGAAUCAAAAUGUGGAUGGAUUCAUGCCAGUUCGAGGAGGAAGAUAAGAAAGGCAUAGAAGUGCCAUUCUUUGACUUAGAAAUUAUUUUACAAGCGACAAAUCACUUCUCAGACGAGAACAAACUUGGAAGAGGCGGGUUUGGGCCUGUUUACAAGGCUACUUUUCCAAGAGGACAGGAAAUUGCAGUAAAGAGACUAUUGAGUGGAUCGGGACAGGGCUUGGAGGAAUUUAAGAAUGAAGUCGUCUUGAUUGCCAAAUUGCAGCAUCGAAAUCUCGUCAAAUUAGUAGGAUAUUGCGUCGAAGGAGAUGAAAAAAUGUUACUAUAUGAAUACAUGCCCAACAAAAGCUUAGAUUCUUUCAUAUUUGAUCGAACAAGGUGUUCCUUGCUAACUUGGGAGAUACGCUUUGAGAUUAUCUUGGGAAUUGCACGAGGAAUGCUCUAUCUCCACCAAGAUUCAAGGCUGCGAAUCAUUCAUAGAGAUCUCAAGACGAGCAACGUUUUGCUCGAUGAGGAGAUGACUCCUAAAAUUUCCGACUUUGGUCUGGCACGUAUAUUUGAGGCAAAACAAACUGAAGCAUGCACAAAAAGGGUGAUUGGAACAUAUGGAUACAUGUCUCCAGAGUAUGCUUUAGAUGGAUUUUUUUCUUUCAAGUCCGAUGUUUUCAGCUUUGGCGUUGUCGUACUGGAGAUUGUUAGCGGAAGACGUAACACAUGCUUUUAUCACUCUGAAGGAACACUGAGCCUUCUCACUCAUGCAUGGGAAUUAUGGAAUGACAAUAAAGCACUGGACUUGAUGGAUCAAGUGUUGCACGAAACUUGCAACAAAGAUCAAGUCUUGAAAUGCAUAAACGUCGCGCUUUUAUGCGUGCAAGAUAACCCCAGCGAUCGUCCCACGAUGUCAAAUGCAGUUCUCAUGCUUAGUAGUGAAACUACGACUCUUCCAACUCCAAAACCGGCUUUUGCAUUUAGGAUGGGCAUCUCUACAACAGCUUCUACUUCCAGCAAAUCAGAGUCAAAUGCGGUGUUAUCGACUACUCUGGAACAAGGACGCGUCCAUCAAGAGCUCACGCCAGUGAAUGGUCGAACAAUGGCCACCCUGAAUCAAAGAGACAUUAACCUCGUCACCAUCUCAAGAACUCCAGCGAUUACCAUGCGACGCUCCAACAACUUCACGCGCUUGCUCUUGUGUGUGAUGUUCUUUCCGUUUUGCUCAAGCCAAGACAACAUAACAGAAGGCACGAUGAUCGAGGACCCGCAAACUCUCGUGUCUGCCGGCAAGGAGUUUGAGCUCGGCUUCUUCUCUCCAAAUAGGAGCUCCGACUCCAGGAGGUAUGUGGGAAUAUGGUAUUACGGGUCAGACCCUCCGAUUGUUGUUUGGGUGGCCAACCGGGACGACCCGCUCAUCGGCCUCAAUGCAUCAUUCGGCGUCAUGGACGGUGACCUGCAGUUGCGCCACAAAGGACCAGCGAUCCGGUUGAUCAAUGUCAGGGUUCCAGCUCUUCAACUCUGGUUGUGAAGCUUCUUGAUACAGGGAAUCUAGUGCUGUUGGAAGACGACAGGAGCGAGACGGUCCUGUGGCAGAGCUUCAAUCACCCGACCGACACCUUCCUACCUGGGAUGCUGAUGAUCAACGGCUUCAACUUGACUUCUUGGGCAAGCCAGGAAGACCCGAAACAGGGGAUGUUCACGUUUCAGAGGGAUCAAGAAAGUGGCAGUAACGAGUACAAAGUAGUCCAAGACCUGUCUCCUUACUGGAGAAGUGGGGUGCAUGGCGACUUCAUACAAGCCGAUGAGAAUUUAUAUGCGAUCAUUCUUUUGCCAAAUGAUUCUCUGGGUUUAGCUUCCGGUCGGUUGGUCAUGAACCACACCGGCCAGAUUCAGUACUUCAGUUUGAAAAAUGGGACGGAGCCAGUCUGGUCCAAGCCAAAGGACAAGUGCAGCGUGCUCAAUGCGUGUGGCAAGUUUGGGAGCUGCAACAUUAUGAAUGGUAACGAAACCAUGUGCAGGUGCUUGCCAGGUUUCAAGCCGGCACAAUUGGAUAAUAGAACCCCAGUGUACUCCAGCGGGUGCCUCAGGAAGUCGUCAAAAUGCUGCGGGAAGAACAGCAACGGUGCUGAUCAUUUCUUGAGUCUGAAAAUGAUGAAGGUCAGGAAGUCAGACAUGCAGAUCCGGACCGAAAACGAGGAGAAAUGCAGGCAAAAGUGCCUCCAUGACUUCAGAUGCCAGGCUUACUCGUUCAUGGAGGAUCAGAGUCGAGCGGCAGAUACAUGCUACACUUGGUCAGACUAUCUCGACAAUAUUCAGGAGUUUGCCCGAGAUGGUCACGACCUCUAUGUCCGAGUGCCGCUUUCAGACAUAGAAUCUACUAACGGGAGCUGUGGAACUUGUGGCACUAAUUUAGUCCCCUAUCCUUUAAGCACGGGACAAAGCUGUGGCGAUCCACUAUACUCUGCAUUUAGCUGUGACAGUAUGACUGCCCAGCUUUACUUUGAACUACCCAUGGAUCGCUACAGAAUCACUAGUGUCAAUCCAGAAACUCGAAUAUUUACCAUCCAAGUCAACGAAAGAUUCAAAUGCAUGAGUGAGGAUCUAAAGAAAAUCAGUCAGCGGCUUGGCCAGUCCGGGCCAUUUGCUGUGAGUGGCGGGUGUAUUGGAGGACAGACUGACUUUAGCGCAGAUGCCUCCCUUGGAAGUGUCAGGUCGAGCGAAGUGAAAAUUGUGUGGAGGGAUCCAAAGGAGCCACUCUGCAAUUCAUCCAAAGACUGCGAUUGGCCUAACGCAACUUGCAAGAGUGCAUCAGAUGGAAUUACAAAGUGCCUCUGCGACUCGGGAUUCAGUUGGAAUUCUUCCAACGUCAGCUGUUCUCCGGAAUAUCAGCCAGGGAUUGUGACCAUGCACUUGAAGUCCUCACAUCUGUCCUUUUAUCAAAUUAGCGAGUCCAUGUGUCUACAAUUAUUCGUUCACUUUUGUCCAAAAUACAGUACUUACACUUUCUUUUCUUCUCUAGCGGGAGUAGGUAAUAACGUUGAAGGAGGAGGAUCAUCGCAGAAAAGACAGAAAGUGAAACCUGUAUACAUAGUUGCUCCUGCGGUUGCUGCAAUUUUCAUCCUUGUAUUUGGUGGCUUAUUUUACAUGAGAAGGCAGCAUGGGAGCAGGGAAAGCACACUAGAAAUUCUUGACUUUCGUUUAUACGAGAGCGAGAAACGAAUCAAAAUGUGGAUGGAUUCAUGCCAGUUCGAGGAGGAAGAUAAGAAAGGCAUAGAAGUGCCAUUCUUUGACUUAGAAAUUAUUUUACAAGCGACAAAUCACUUCUCAGACGAGAACAAACUUGGAAGAGGCGGGUUUGGGCCUGUUUACAAGGCUACUUUUCCAAGAGGACAGGAAAUUGCAGUAAAGAGACUAUUGAGUGGAUCGGGACAGGGCUUGGAGGAAUUUAAGAAUGAAGUCGUCUUGAUUGCCAAAUUGCAGCAUCGAAAUCUCGUCAAAUUAGUAGGAUAUUGCGUCGAAGGAGAUGAAAAAAUGUUACUAUAUGAAUACAUGCCCAACAAAAGCUUAGAUUCUUUCAUAUUUGAUCGAACAAGGUGUUCCUUGCUAACUUGGGAGAUACGCUUUGAGAUUAUCUUGGGAAUUGCACGAGGAAUGCUCUAUCUCCACCAAGAUUCAAGGCUGCGAAUCAUUCAUAGAGAUCUCAAGACGAGCAACGUUUUGCUCGAUGAGGAGAUGACUCCUAAAAUUUCCGACUUUGGUCUGGCACGUAUAUUUGAGGCAAAACAAACUGAAGCAUGCACAAAAAGGGUGAUUGGAACAUAUGGAUACAUGUCUCCAGAGUAUGCUUUAGAUGGAUUUUUUUCUUUCAAGUCCGAUGUUUUCAGCUUUGGCGUUGUCGUACUGGAGAUUGUUAGCGGAAGACGUAACACAUGCUUUUAUCACUCUGAAGGAACACUGAGCCUUCUCACUCAUGCAUGGGAAUUAUGGAAUGACAAUAAAGCACUGGACUUGAUGGAUCAAGUGUUGCACGAAACUUGCAACAAAGAUCAAGUCUUGAAAUGCAUAAACGUCGCGCUUUUAUGCGUGCAAGAUAACCCCAGCGAUCGUCCCACGAUGUCAAAUGCAGUUCUCAUGCUUAGUAGUGAAACUACGACUCUUCCAACUCCAAAACCGGCUUUUGCAUUUAGGAUGGGCAUCUCUACAACAGCUUCUACUUCCAGCAAAUCAGAGUCAAAUGCGGUGUUAUCGACUACUCUGGAACAAGGACGGUAACCUUGGAUCUUCCCGGAAUUCAUUCCACAUCUCAACUGUACCAGGCAUUUGUUUAACUAGGAAUGCCUCAAUUUUUGCCCCAUGAUAGUCUUUCUCCAACAAAAUACACUUCUCUCUAUGUUGAUUGCCGGUGCUUCUCCUCGGCUUAAAGACUACGAUACUAACAUUGCAAAUCGGCUUCUUCAUCCCGGGAGCAGCUUCUUUUCUUGUCAU
Eucalyptus grandis is the source of this 6714-nucleotide RNA transcript. RefSeq lists it as uncharacterized. The transcript is spliced from 17 exons. Lineage: Eukaryota; Viridiplantae; Streptophyta; Magnoliopsida; Myrtales; Myrtaceae. The record is from RefSeq and is a predicted model, not a curated record.